CGAUCGCCCGCGCCGAAGUCGCCACAGGCGACACGGGGGACCAAAUACUGGGGUGAAUCCCCGACAGCGUCGGGGUAGGGUUAGCCUUUCAACCCGAAUCCGUCAACUAACCUCGGAGGCGCACGAAAGGCCUU
Molecule: small RNA, 134 nt
Filed under: Dehalococcoidia bacterium
Lineage: Bacteria; Bacillati; Chloroflexota; Dehalococcoidia
Description: c-di-AMP sequence
Rfam family: c-di-AMP riboswitch aptamer (ydaO/yuaA leader)
About the family: This family represents a conserved RNA structure found upstream of the ydaO and yuaA genes in Bacillus subtilis and related genes in other bacteria. The ydaO/yuaA element is thought to act as a genetic "off" switch for the ydaO and yuaA genes in its native state.
Source: RNAcentral